This is a non-coding RNA of Paramuricea clavata, 521 nucleotides long. Lineage: Eukaryota; Metazoa; Cnidaria; Anthozoa; Malacalcyonacea; Plexauridae. The record is from the annotation of a GenBank genome assembly.
UCUGUUUAUUGAUCAAUUGUUUUGCAGUAAAAACUGAAUUAUACAAUUGUUUUUAUUUAGCCUUAUCCCCCCCCCCCCUGCCAAUGCUUCCUAUUUAUCUCCUUUCACUGUGUUUACACGAUACAUACUUUGGAUUCCGUGAUCAUGUAAAUAAGUUUAAAAUACUAACCAUUUACAUACACGGUUUCACUCUCAUCGUUUGAAUUCACACCUAUUUCCACGUUUUCAGUUUCACCAUCGCUUCUAUCUUUGCUUCGACUGCUAGCUUCGUUCUCACUUCUUUUAUGUUCUUCAACAGUUGCUACGCUAAGUUUAAGUGGCCGUGAAGCGACAACAUCAAAUAUUAAAACUCUGUCAUGCAGAUCAGGCUUGUUAAACUCUGCUUCGAACAACUUCAAUAAUUCUAGUACAUCGUGCAAUUUUACUUCACGCGAUAUUGUCUGAGUGAAUACACUCAUUUUGCCUUUCACUUAAACAAAUAAAUGUCUCGGCCAGAAGCUUGUAUUCGCGUUGUCCGUGCA